Molecule: long non-coding RNA, 447 nt
Organism: Haemorhous mexicanus (house finch)
Lineage: Eukaryota; Metazoa; Chordata; Aves; Passeriformes; Fringillidae
Exons: 3
Source: RefSeq, a predicted model, not a curated record
AAAGGCGUUCGCACCUACAAAGCCGGAGAUGCACCUGCAAACAAGGCAGUUCCCCUCGCCUGCAACUCCCCCCGGGGCGGCACUUUAUUUGCAAAGCUGCGUAAUUGGUUUAGGCUUGUGGGGAAAGAAGGAGAGACAGAGAAACCAUGUGAGUCACCGUGCUGAGACAUAACACUACAGGUUCUCAAUAAAUACGGACAGAGGCCUGAAUGCGGAUCCACUGAUAUUAACCUCCACUUGGCAAACAUCAGUCAAAUCCUUGAAACAGACAAAACUCUGGAAUCAGAAGAGGAGAACAACAUAUGAAAAUAUGUCUUGAAGGAAAGAAAAUAUAUAAAAACACCGGAUUAAACCCCUGCUUUCUCAAAUGGUCAAACUACACCCAUGGGCAUUGGGACAAACCCCAGUGGAAUAUCUAAGAAAAACUAGAAUUGCGGUCUUCACGUA